CCUACGGGAGGCAGCAGUAGGGAAUCAUCCGCAAUGGGCGAAAGCCUGACGGUGCAACGCCGCGUGAACGAUGAAGGUUUUCGGAUGGUAAAGUUCUGUUAUGAGGGAGAACAAGUGCCGUUCGAAUAGGUCGGCACCUUGACGGUACCUCACGAGAAAGCCCCGGCUAACUACGUGCCAGCAGCCCCGGUAAUACGUAGGGGGCAAGCGUUGUCGGA
Molecule: ribosomal RNA, 218 nt
Filed under: uncultured bacterium
Lineage: Bacteria
Description: partial 16S ribosomal RNA
Rfam family: Bacterial small subunit ribosomal RNA
Source: RNAcentral